GGCCCUAUCGUCUAGCCUGGUUAGGACACGUGGUUCUCAUCCACGAAACUCGGGUUCGAAUCCCGAUGGGGUCACCA
Molecule: transfer RNA, 77 nt
Filed under: Candidatus Wolfebacteria bacterium
Lineage: Bacteria; Candidatus Wolfeibacteriota
Description: tRNA-Glu
Rfam family: tRNA
About the family: Transfer RNA (tRNA) molecules are approximately 80 nucleotides in length. Their secondary structure includes four short double-helical elements and three loops (D, anti-codon, and T loops).
Source: RNAcentral